ACUCCUACGGGAGGCAGCAGUGGGGAAUAUUGCACAAUGGGGGAAACCCUGAUGCAGCCAUGCCGCGUGUGUGAAGAAGGCCUUCGGGUUGUAAAGCACUUUCAGUAGGGAGGAAGGUAGUGUAGUUAACACCUGCACUAUUUGACGUUACCUACAGAAGAAGCACCGGCUAACUCCGUGCCAGCAGCCGCGGUAAUACGGAGGGUGCGAGCGUUAAUCGGAAUUACUGGGCGUAAAGCGCAUGCAGGCGGCCUGUUAAGUCAGAUGUGAAAGCCCGGGGCUUAACCUCGGAAUUGCAUUUGAAACUGGCAGGCUAGAGUCUUGUAGAGGGGGGUAGAAUUUCUGGUGUAGCGGUGAAAUGCGUAGAGAUCUGAAGGAAUACCAGUGGCGAAGGCGGCCCCCUGGACAAAGACUGACGCUCAGAUGCGAAAGCGUGGGGAGCAAACAGGAUUAGAUACCCUGGUAGGAUAGCG
This 473-nucleotide ribosomal RNA is filed under the name uncultured bacterium. RNAcentral's name for it is "bacterial SSU rRNA". It matches the Rfam family "Bacterial small subunit ribosomal RNA", at positions 335 to 799 of the family's 1533-position model. The record is from RNAcentral.